GUGCAUAUCAGUAGACCUCACCUUGCUAUGUCCUGGCAUGGUGAGGGGGAUAGCAUGUGCCAGAGGUGAUGUGGAGUGACUGUCAGAUGCAGCCAGCAGAGUAGAUGGUUGGCUUAACUGGUACUCCCACAUUC
This 134-nucleotide small nucleolar RNA is filed under the name Propithecus coquereli (Coquerel's sifaka). RNAcentral describes it as "Small nucleolar RNA SNORA58 (ENSPCOG00000010430.1)". It matches the Rfam family "Small nucleolar RNA SNORA58". From Rfam's summary of the family: ACA52 is a member of the H/ACA class of snoRNA that guide the sites of modification of uridines to pseudouridines. The record is from Rfam by way of RNAcentral. Lineage: Eukaryota; Metazoa; Chordata; Mammalia; Primates; Indriidae.